This 121-nucleotide ribosomal RNA is filed under the name Sorex araneus (European shrew). The record is from RNAcentral. Lineage: Eukaryota; Metazoa; Chordata; Mammalia; Eulipotyphla; Soricidae.
GUCUAGGGCCAUACCACCCUGGACACGCCCGUUCCCGUUGGAUCUCAGAAGCUAAGCAAGGCCGGGUUUGUACUGGUUGAUGCUUGGAUGGGAGACAGUUUCUCCCACUUAGCCCUGGACC